This is a long non-coding RNA of Mastomys coucha (southern multimammate mouse), 2033 nucleotides long. RefSeq lists it as uncharacterized. The transcript has 2 exons. The record is from RefSeq and is a predicted model, not a curated record. NCBI's taxonomy places the organism in Eukaryota, Metazoa, Chordata, Mammalia, Rodentia, Muridae.
GACAGGUUCCUUUCGUGCCACAUUCCUGCAUUCAUAAGCAGGUUUCCAGUGGAACCUUAGCUUCAGCAAUGAGCAACAAAAGGACUUUCCACCAUGUUACAAUCUUUCUAAGUAAUCAAGCUUUACAGAAAUGGCUUUGCAGAUUCUGCCAUGGUGAGCCCCAGAUUGACCAGAAACGUCAUCGAACUCUUGUGUAAGGGAAAAAGCAAAAGAACCCUACUGUCUAAAAUGGUGACUUUGCUGAUCAGAGCUCGUAGCUCCCUUGGGAGCUUCCCAGGCCUCAGGUGAGCUGCUGCUGUUAGCUUCCUGCCUUAACAUGGUCUCCUCCCAUCGCGCCGGCGUAAUUGUGCUCUGCGGCAGAGUGGCAGAGUGGAAUUAAGACUGUGAAUGUUAGCUGCUUUUUGAGAACGUGAGUGAAUAACAGACACACAGCUGUGAUUUAGGCAGCGUCAGGGGAGACCUUCCGUAAAACCUGACCACUCGCUUCCGUGCGCGCUUCGCAGCUUAUCAUUUCAGCACCACGGACAGAGGAAGCUGAGAAACCUUGGAUGCUGCUUUUGGCUAACCAGCUGGCCAACUUCCUGGGGGAGCUGGGCGGAUCGCCCUGACCAAGGGCCUUUCUAGGGCUCUUCAGGAACGGAUGCUAUGGAAACCAAGCGGGGAGAUGUCAUCGUCCGCAGAGUUCUCAGGAGGAAAGCUGCAUUUGGCUCUGCAAGGGAGGAGGGCUUUAUUAAACAUUGACAAGUUACUCUGCUUGGCCACCCGUUGCCCAGCAUGUGCAUACCAGCUCUGACAGCAGGGUGAGGAAGCAACACUGCAGUAGCUUCUACUGUAGGUGUGUGGUAUACAGGUGAACACCUGGUUCCCCUCUGAUAUAAAGCAUAUGUUUAUGGGAUGCAUACUAAUGUUGCUUGUGUGUUUGAUUCAACCCCUAAGAUGAACAAGAAAAGAUGCAGAGAGAGAAAUGGAAGAAGACAAAAAAAAAAAAAAAAAAAGGUGGGUCAGAGGAGGAGAGACAGAGAGAAAAUAAAAUGACAGCUGUAGCAUUAGUGCACUUUCCAAAUAAAGGACAGGCAGUCUAAUAUGAAUUCUUUGGAAUUCUAGGCUUCUUUAAUUAACUAAUGCACAACACAAUACUGAAUUAUUUCUAAUCACAGGUAAAAUUUGUACCUAUAACUAAGCUUGUUAGUAAAGAGUAAUUGAUAAUGUCUUAAAAAUGUAUUUCAAUAUAUUUACACUCCACUUAAAUCUUAUUUUUCCCCCUUAUGACACCUUUUCCCAAGAGGGAGGUUAUUUUUGCUGUUGUUGCUUGUUUGCUUUGAGAGAUGGUCACACAAGGUUUUCCAUCUUAGUUGUAUAUAACAUCAGUGAACUUAUUUCAUUAAGCAAAACAAUUAGAUUGUGCUGAAUUAAUGUGAAUUAUUAAUGCCUUUCACAUGGACCAUAAUCUUCUUAGAUGCAGUACAGGCAAGUGCUUAUGAAACAGACUGGCCUUGAGCUACAUCCCCAAGGUUAAACCUUGGAUGCUAGCUAAACCAACCGGGGGAGUGGGUUUUACAUAGGGCCUAGUGGAUUACAUCCCAGAGGUACAUCCUAAAUCAAAUAAGAAUGUUCUCUGACUAUUUCAAAUGAUAUGUGGGAAAAAUUUCCUAAAAUAGAGAGAUGAAAAAAAAUCACAAAUAGCUAAAGCCUUUUUGCAAUUGUUAAAUCCAGUGCCUAUAAGAUUGUAUUUUAUUAGGAAGUAUGCUUGAGCAGGACUGCCAAGAGCAUAUUUCUAUUAUUUUGGGACAUAUGCAUUAUGUGAAUGUUAUAUAUUAUAUUAAAGAUAUAUUUUAAAAACCAGGAAGCCAUCUUCAAAAAUAUCCCUGGAAAGCCACAAAAUUAUGUACUUCCAUAGGAGAUAUGGUAUAAAGGAAAAACUUAUCAAAUUGUUUCAUCACAAAAUUUCAAGCCCCUUAGGAGUUGUUUCACAAGGGCAUUUGUUUAUUGGUUAUUUUAUUUAUUUAAAUUUCAAAUGUUAUCUCCCUUCCAAA